Molecule: ribosomal RNA, 979 nt
Filed under: Helotiales sp.
Lineage: Eukaryota; Fungi; Ascomycota; Leotiomycetes; Helotiales
Description: SSU rRNA
Rfam family: Eukaryotic small subunit ribosomal RNA
Source: RNAcentral
UCUAGUAUAAGCAUCUAUACGGUGAAACUGCGAAUGGCUCAUUAAAUCAGUUAUCGUUUAUUUGAUAGUACCUUACUACUUGGAUAACCGUGGUAAUUCUAGAGCUAAUACAUGCUAAAAACCUCGACUUCGGAAGGGGUGUAUUUAUUAGAUAAAAAACCAAUGCCCUUCGGGGCUCCUUGGUGAUUCAUAAUAACUUAACGAAUCGCAUGGCCUUGUGCCGGCGAUGGUUCAUUCAAAUUUCUGCCCUAUCAACUUUCGAUGGUAGGAUAGUGGCCUACCAUGGUUUCAACGGGUAACGGGGAAUUAGGGUUCUAUUCCGGAGAGGGAGCCUGAGAAACGGCUACCACAUCCAAGGAAGGCAGCAGGCGCGCAAAUUACCCAAUCCCGACACGGGGAGGUAGUGACAAUAAAUACUGAUACAGGGCUCUUUUGGGUCUUGUAAUUGGAAUGAGUACAAUUUAAAUCCCUUAACGAGGAACAAUUGGAGGGCAAGUCUGGUGCCAGCAGCCGCGGUAAUUCCAGCUCCAAUAGCGUAUAUUAAAGUUGUUGCAGUUAAAAAGCUCGUAGUUGAACCUUGGGCCUGGUUGGUCGGUCCGCCUCACCGCGUGCACUGAUCCGACCGGGUCUUUCCUUCUGGGGAGCCGCAUGCCCUUCACUGGGUGUGUCGGGGAACCAGGACUUUUACUUUGAAAAAAUUAGAGUGUUCAAAGCAGGCCUAUGCUCGAAUACAUUAGCAUGGAAUAAUAGAAUAGGACGUGUGGUUCUAUUUUGUUGGUUUCUAGGACCGCCGUAAUGAUUAAUAGGGAUAGUCGGGGGCAUCAGUAUUCCGUUGUCAGAGGUGAAAUUCUUGGAUUUACGGAAGACUAACUACUGCGAAAGCAUUUGCCAAGGAUGUUUUCAUUAAUCAGUGAACGAAAGUUAGGGGAUCGAAGACGAUCAGAUACCGUCGUAGUCUUAACCAUAACUAUGCCGACUA